RNAcentral lists this ribosomal RNA (253 nucleotides) under uncultured bacterium. RNAcentral's name for it is "partial 16S ribosomal RNA". It matches the Rfam family "Bacterial small subunit ribosomal RNA", at positions 524 to 776 of the family's 1533-position model. The record is from RNAcentral.
UACGAGGGGGGCGAGCGUUGUUCGGAAUUAUUGGGCGUAAAGGGUGCGUAGGCGGUUUGGUAAGUCUCGUGUGAAAUCUACAGGCUCAACUUGUAGUCUGCACGAGAAACUGCCGGGCUUGAGUGUGGGAGAGGUGAGUGGAAUUCCCGGUGUAGCAGUGAAAUGCGUAGAUAUUACCAGGAACACCAAUGGCGAAGGCAGCUUGCUGGGCCACUCCUGACACUGAGGUACGAAAGCGUGGGGAGCGAACAGG